AAGGAGGCGGUGCCGGGGAAGCCGCGGCCUCGAUCGGCAGCUGCGACCGGCCACUGGGCCAACAGCCGCCGCCAAGAUGAUCUCCCCGCGGGAACGAGGCGGGGAGAUGGCCCGAUUCUACACGGUCACCGAGCCCAAACGCCAUCCCCGGGGAUACACCCUCUAUAAGGUUACCGCGAGGAUUGUUUCACGAAAAACUCCAGAGGAUGUCCAGGAGAUAGUCGUUUGGAAGAGAUACAGUGACUUUAAGAAAUUGCACAAAGAACUCUGGCAGAUUCAUAAACACUUAUUCAGGCAUACUGAAUUGUUUCCUCCUUUUGCUAAAGCAAUAGUAUUUGGGCGAUUUGAAGAAGGCGUGAUUGAAGAGAGGAGACAGUGCGCAGAAGACUUGCUUCAGUUUUCUGCCAACAUCCCAGCGCUCUACAACAGCAAACAGCUUGAAGAUUUCUUUAAGGAUGGAGAGGUGCAUGAUGGGUCUGAACUGAUUGGCCCUGUGGAACCUCUGUUGGAUUCCCUGACAGACAGCAUUUCUACCUGCAGUUCCGAAGCUCGGAAGGAUGGUGGUGUCUUUGAUGAUGUGACCCUUAGCCAAUCAGAAUAUGGAGGUUUCUCCAGCGACAGUGACCUGAUCUCUUUGACUGUCGAUGUGGACUCUCUGGCUGAGUUAGAUGAUGGAAUGGCAUCUAACCAGAAUUCUCCCAGCCGAUCCCUCGGCCUCAGCUUUACCGCCGAACUUCCGGCGCAGGCCUCUGCCAUUUCGGACCACGAAUGGAGCAAGCCUGAUGGUGAAAGGGAGAGCCGCGGUCUGUUUACUGGGAGCUUGAAGGCCAAGCUGGGCCGGCGGGACUACCUGGACAAAGCAGGGGAGCUGAUCAAGCUGGCGUUGAAGAAGGAGGAGGAAGAAGAUUAUGAGGCUGCAUUUGGCUUUUAUAGGAAAGGAGUUGACCUGCUCCUGGAAGGGGUUCAAGGGGAGUCGAGUCCAACCCGCCGUGAAGCAGUGAAGAGGAAGACUUCAGAAUACCUGAUGAGAGCUGAAAAAAUUUCCAGCCUCUAUUGUAGACCCACAUCAGAAGAUAGUUCCACCACUGGACCUCCAGGAUCACUAAGUUCAAGGCCCUCUUGGAACCGAAGGAGCCCUGCCGAGGAACUGAAGGCCUUUAGAGUCCUUGGGGUGAUUGACAAGGUUUUACUUGUAAUGGAUACUAGAACGCAGCAGACAUUUAUAUUGAAGGGUCUCAGGAAAAGUAGCGAGUACAGCAGGAAGAGAAAGACCAUCAUCCCCCGCUGCGUGCCCAACAUGGUGGCUCUGCACAAGUACAUCAUCUCGGAGGAAUCGGUAUUCCUUGUGCUGCACCACGCAGAAGGAGGCAAACUUUGGUCUUAUAUCAGUAAGUUCUUGAACAGGAGCCCUGAAGACAGCUUUGAAGCCCCUAAAUCCAGACGAUCCAGCUCUACCAAAAUACAGUUGCGUCAGGCAACUCCUAGUCCUCCGGACGUUGGCAGUAGCAUUGAUUCCAGGGGAAGCGAUGGUGGCAACAUGCUAAAGGUUUUACCAUUGAAGACCAGUCUCACUCCAAGCUCUCAGGAUGGCAGUAGUAACCAGGAAGAUGGCCCAGAAAGUUCUCCCAAGUGGAUUGAUUCUGCGUCCAGUUCAGAGGAAGAGUGCACCACCAGUUACCUAACGUUAUGCAAUGAAUAUGGCCAAGAAAAGGUUGACCAGGGUUCAUUAAAUGAAGAGCCUAUCGUGAAAGCAGACAACGGUGUUCUCGUUACCAAAGAGCAAGGAGGCUCCCAGGCACCCAGUGUGGUUUCCAGUGGGAACUUGGGAUCCACAUUCACAUCUCAGGAAGUAAAGAUUUUUGCUGGUGACCCUGAUCCAGAAAUAGCUAGUCCUACCAGGAUAUCGGAAUCUCUAAGUCAGUCCAAGAACAGCCCCAUGGAAUUCUUCAGAAUCGACAGUAAAGAUAGUUCCAGUGAGCUUCUGGGCGUUGACUUUGGAGAUAAACUCCACAGCUUAAAAUCAGAAUCUCUGAAGCAGUUUUUCCCUGUGGCAGAUUGGGAUAAGAGCCUUGAUGCCAUCGAAAACAAAAUGGCCCCUGUGUGUCAGGAUACAAUCAGCAGGGGUUCAAAUGACUCUGUGCCAGUGAUCUCUUUUAAGGAUGUUGCCUUCGAUGACGUCGGCAGCAUUGACGAAGGAAGGCCUGACCUUUUGGUCAACUUGCCUGGCAUAACGGAGCAAACAAAAGAAAUGGUGGCAGAUGGGCCUGCAAAGCUGGCGGAGCAGAAUGGAGAUGUUUUGGAGAGCAAGCUUUUGGAAACCCCGGACGUCUUGCAACUGAAUAACAGCACAGAGCAAUGCAGAGCGCUUGAGCAAAAGGCAGACCCUUUGAUGGGAGAAGAAUCAGGAGGGCAGCGCAGGGACAACCGGGAACCGGUCAAGACACGGCAUACGGUUGUUAGUGAUUCAGCUGGUUCCGGGGACAGGACUCUCUUUCAAGGGCUUGGAGCAGCAGCGUCUUCAUCAUUCGAUGUGUUGGGCAUGGAAGAAAGCUCAUUGACUUCUAACACACAAGCAAGUGCUAAAGAAUGUAGCUUAGAUGUGGACAGUGAAGCCAUGCUGCUCUUUUUGGAUCAUGCCGAAGACUCUGGUAAAGAGGGAACAGCCCCUGCCCCUCUGCACAAAGCCGAAAGUGGGGAGUCAGGGGCACAGAGCAGAGGAGAGAAUGAAAUACACCAAAUUUUUCAGGACCUCGAUGAGAGAUUAGCACUAACCUCCAGGUUUUACCUCCCCGAGGGCUGCAUUCAAAGAUGGGCAGCUGAAAUGGUUGUAGCCCUUGAUGCCUUGCAUCGAGAAGGAAUUGUGUGCCGCGAUUUGAACCCAAACAACAUCUUAUUGAAUGAUCGAGGACACAUUCAGCUAACGUAUUUUAGCAGGUGGAGUGAGGUUGAAGAUUCCUGUGACAACGAUGCCAUAGAGAGGAUGUACUGUGCCCCAGGUUAGAGCAAUCACCUCAAAUGUUUCACUUGGAAAACAGAUUAGCAGCUUUCAUUUUCUCAUGGAGCUUUCAUCCCAUCCCACCCUCUGUUCCUUGGGAAUACAAGCUGUUCAAUAUCUGCCAGCACUUUUUUUUUUUUUAGUUUUUAUUUUUAAUAUGUUAUUUUGGAAUCUGACAUGCUAAUAAGUGAACAUUGCUUAGCAGGAGAAUCUCACUAUGAAAGGUAGAUUUAACACUUUUGCAAAAAAGGUUACUGAAAGUUGUAUGCUUUCAGAGCACACGGCAUUGGUGAAAUAUUCCCCUAUGCUUAGUCCAUGGAAAUGAAAAGAGCUGAAAAUAUAUCACACUUUGUAGGCUUGUCCAAAUUUUCUUCGUGUGUCUCUGCUGCACCACAUUGCAUAUAAGAGAAAUUCCCAGAGGAUUAUGCCUAUCUGUGACCUACGUUCAGCUACCUUAAGGUAGAUCCAGUGCACCGUCUUUAGAACUUCAAUACUCGUGAAAAUAUGUUAUUGAUACACUGCUUACUAGGACUCAUGGCUUAGUUGUGUUUUGGAUGUGUUGUGGAUCCACUUUUUGAUAGGGUGGCAUUGCGGAGGAAACAGGAAAUACCAGUGCCUUGUGCUUCCUUUUCCUGCAUUAUGAAAAGUCCUUGUUCGAACUGUGUCUUGGUUGUCUGUGUCUGCCAUCACUUCAGAUGGCAGGUGUGGGUGGGUGUCUCACAUCACUGAAUGCUCCUCUGUACAGAAAAAUCAUAGAAAACUAGGUAUCUUUGACGUACUAGUUUUCUUUGUGCCCAGAAAGUCAGUGUUCAGUCAUGUGAGGUCCUAUUUGCAAUCUGACAUGGUACAACCCAACACAAGUUUACCAUCUCGGGUAAGAACACGCCUAAGUUUCAUCCAAAAUACAACUCUUUAGUUGGGAGAUGUGUGAAUUCCUUCUUGUUGUUGUUGUUGUCGUUGUCAUCAUCAUCAUCAUCAUCAUCAUCUCUAUACCGCCCAAUAGCCAGAGCUCUCUGGUUAAUUUACAAAUGAUGAAAAUCGUAAAAGUACAGUUUAAAACACAAUAUAAAAGCUAGCUACAUACCUAUAAAAACAAUCAACAAUAAGGUGAUGGAGCAGUUUGCAUCUCUCUUGGGCUGGAUGAGUUUCAGAUGUUCUGUUCCACAUCUCAGCAGCCAAAAUCACUCUAAGAAAUGCCAAGGUCAGCCACAUUUCUCUGGGAAGCUACCUGCUGCUCUCCCAAGGCAUGGUUUGAAGGCACAUGAGGCAGCCACCUUGCUGGAGCUAAGUGCUUCGAAGGGAGGCUACCUGAGAACAACACGCAGCCGGCCUGAGUCCCAAGAUGGAAGAAAGGUGGGAUAUAAAUGUAAUACUAAAUAAAUAACUGGGAUCUUUAAAUGGUGUAGACACUGUAGUACAGCCUUCCCCAACUUGGUGCCUUCCAGAUGUUUUGGAUUACAACGCUUAGAAUUUUUGGCCAUUCCCUAUUCUGGACGUGUAGAUCCUAAAAGCUUGUUUCCCAGAAAUAGAACUGAAAGUUAGAAGGAAGCUUCUGUUUGUUCCUUUCUAGAAUCUUAUUUCCAAAGAGGAGCAGUUUUUCAAGGGCCAUUCGUAACUUGUCCUUUCCUGGCACAAGCUUGCUUAAAUAAUGUGGCUUUUCUUAUUAAUGCAUUCUCCGCUGGCUUCUGGUUCAUUUCCAAGCUCAGUUCAAGGUGCUAGUUAUCGCCUGGGUACCUGCAGGACGGCUUCCUUCCAUCUUGUAUUGCCUUCCCGUUGAGUGUCCUGUCUUUUAGGAGGCUCUGCUCUCCACCCCAACGUUGUCUAAGGUUUGGUUGGUGGGGAUGUCGGACAGAGUCUUGAACUCCCUUCCUUGGGAGGUGCAUUUGACUCCUUCCCUUCCCUUUCUGAGGGAUGAUUAAGACCUUUCUUUUCCAUUGGCCUUUUUAGCGUUACUGUGUUUUUUGUAGGGAUGUCUGAGGAAUUCAAUAUCAGUGAAUUCCAACAAGACUCGAUUUUAUUCACACUGCAUUUCCCCAGACUAAGGUGUGGAUCAAAUAUUCUUCAGAUUUUGCAUUUCUCUAAAACA
RNA transcript from Elgaria multicarinata webbii, 5081 nucleotides. It is a transcript of the gene named ribosomal protein S6 kinase C1, with no coding region annotated. NCBI's taxonomy places the organism in Eukaryota, Metazoa, Chordata, Lepidosauria, Squamata, Anguidae. The record is from RefSeq and is a predicted model, not a curated record. The transcript is spliced from 14 exons.